CUCCUUUGAUCGUAUUAUUUUGAUCGUAAAAUGGUACCUUUGUCCAUUUUAGGUCAAAAUGGUCGAUUUUUUAAUUCAUAUGAAUUUAUAUGCACGUAAUUUUUCUAAUUCUUUAUAUCAGAUUAAUGUAAUAAUGAAGAGGUACUGAUUUUGAAUGCCUUUAAUUGAUGGAAAUAGAAGCAACUAUAAAUAUGAUUACAACAUAAUGAAGAAAGAAGAGCUACUGAUUUUGAACUCCUUUAAAUAAUGGAAAUAUUUUUCUAAUUCUUUAUAUCAGAUUAGUAUAAUGAAGAGCUACUGAUUUUGAAUGCCUUUAAUUGAUGGAAAUAGAAGCAACUAUAAAUAUGAUUACAAUAUAAUGAAAAAAGAGCUACUGAUUUUGAACUCCUUAAAUAAUGAAAUAUUUUUCUAAUUCUUUAUAUCAGAUUAGUAUAAUGAAGAAAGAAGAGCUACUGAUUUUGAACUCCUUAAAUAAUGGAAAUAGAAGCAACUGAUAAAUAUGAUUAAAAUUUAUUAUUUAUUAGAUAAUGAAGAAAGAAGAGCUACUGAUUUUGAACUCCUUUAAAUAAUGGAAAUAGAAGCAAUGGAUAAAUAUGAUUACAAUUUAUUAUUUAUUAGAUAAUUAUAACUUAUAAAUAAAAUUAAUUGAUAAUUUGGUCAGAAUAUUAUAUUUUAUUAUACAUCUAUAUUAUAAUUAUACAUAAGUUUUAAACAAAUAAAUAUUUAUUUAUAAUUUUUAAAUUAUAUUGAGUAAUUAGAUUUUGAAUAUUCUUUUCUUUUGUUAUAUAUUAUCCAUCAUGAUACAAGCACAAAUUCCCUUUUGAAGUUGGAAUAUAUUGUAUAUCUAAAAAUUACAGUGUCAAAAUAUAAAUUAUUUAUAAUCAGAUUAUGUAAAUGUAAUAAUCAGAUUAUGUAAAUGUAAUAAUAUAAUUUAUUUACUUAAAUUUUCAUUGUUGGAAUUAUGUAAGUCUAAUA
Gordionus sp. m RMFG-2023 is the source of this 975-nucleotide long non-coding RNA. RefSeq lists it as uncharacterized. The record is from RefSeq and is a predicted model, not a curated record. NCBI's taxonomy places the organism in Eukaryota, Metazoa, Nematomorpha, Gordioida, Chordodea, Parachordodidae. The transcript has 6 exons.